GAUGAACGCUGGCGGCGUGCCUAAUACAUGCAAGUCGAGCGAACAGACGAGGAGCUUGCUCCUCUGACGUUAGCGGCGGACGGGUGAGUAACACGUGGAUAACCUACCUAUAAGACUGGGAUAACUUCGGGAAACCGGAGCUAAUACCGGAUAAUAUAUUGAACCGCAUGGUUCAAUAGUGAAAGACGGUUUUGCUGUCACUUAUAGAUGGAUCCGCGCCGCAUUAGCUAGUUGGUAAGGUAACGGCUUACCAAGGCAACGAUGCGUAGCCGACCUGAGAGGGUGAUCGGCCACCCUGGAACUGAGCCACGGUCCAGACUCCUGCGGGAGGCAGCAGUAGGGAAUCUUCCGCAGUGGGCGAAAGCCUGACGGAGCAACGCCGCGUGAGUGAUGAAGGUCUUCGGAUCGUAAAACUCUGUUAUUAGGGAAGAACAAAUGUGUAAGUAACUAUGCACGUCUUGACGGUACCUAAUCAGAAAGCCACGGCUAACUACGUG
This 497-nucleotide ribosomal RNA is filed under the name uncultured bacterium. RNAcentral describes it as "partial 16S ribosomal RNA". It matches the Rfam family "Bacterial small subunit ribosomal RNA", at positions 28 to 507 of the family's 1533-position model. The record is from RNAcentral.